Long non-coding RNA from Helianthus annuus (common sunflower), 1255 nucleotides. RefSeq lists it as uncharacterized. NCBI's taxonomy places the organism in Eukaryota, Viridiplantae, Streptophyta, Magnoliopsida, Asterales, Asteraceae. The transcript has 5 exons. The record is from RefSeq and is a predicted model, not a curated record.
AAUUAGGGGUUCAAAAUUUUUAAUUUCAAAUUGCAUUCUCCUCUCUCCGAAAAGAAAAGCCCUUCUCUCUUCCCUGUUCUCUCUCUUUCAUUCUCUGAAACCCUAAAUCGAUAGCCACUCCCCUCCCCACUCAACCCUGAAGUUUGAUUCACACAUAUCCGUUUUCAAGUUCAGUUCGCAUAUGGUAGGUUCUGUGUUUUGGAUUAGUUUUCGCCGCCGAUUAAUUGAGGGAACAAAGUGAUGUCUCGGUUUGAAAGAGUUGAUUAUGGUCAUUGGCUUCAACACCAACGAGGAAUAUUAAUGAAUUAACUAUGUGUGUUAGGUCCGAUGUUUCUAUUACUCUGUUCUUCACGUACAAUAUGGCCCUUGAACCACCUUUGGAGAAAUAUGAUAGACUUCAGACAUUUGUUAAGUGGUUUUGCUUUUGUUUGAGGUUUGUUAAGUGCUAAUUAUAAGUUUUGAUAUUGGAGGAAGCAAUUGAUGAUCUCUGAUAGGGUACAGUUUGCACAAUUCUUAAUCUUUGUACCAUUUUCUGCAAUUUUAGGAAGCAGGGUCGAGUCAUCUCACACUCACACACAUUUAAAUAGACUAUAUAGUUUUGUAAAAGAACAAGAAUAAGGAAAGCCAAAGAAGACGGAAUAUUGGGGACUCUAUUUGAUUGUCUUUUAUCACAACAGACCCAGACAAAAUAUGUCAUUGCAGGCAGUUGUUUUGCGUUGGAUGAUUGGCGGCUUCGGCAGCCUCCUUGAAACAUACUCAAUCACAUUUUUUUAUAAUCUUUAUGGGGGACGCAGACAACACUUUUCCACCUACCAAAAAACGAGCUGCUGGUAGAGAAUUGUCUCGGGAUAACCCGGGUCUUGACGAUGAAGAAGAGGUUCCGGGGGAAGAAACCGAAACGGAUACACAUUCAAAAGGGCGAGUGAUGAAGUGCUGGCAAAUAGAAGAAUAGUCAAAGUCAAACGUGGUCAAACAUCAUAAACCCCCUCUGCAUCUUCUAAUCCUUUCGCCGCCAUUCGUUUGGUACCCCCUGCAUCUUCUAAUCCUUUCGCAGACAACACAACCCGUUUUAAAAAAACGUGUCGGGUUCGGGUUGACCCGUAUUGAAAACAGGUCCGGGUUUGGGUUGACCCAUUUAACUAUUUAGAAAAAAAGGUUUUAUAUUUUUGUUUUUUCCGUUACAUGUUUAUAUUAUGCUUUGCAGGGGAGUUUGCAUGUUAUUCUAAGAAAUCAUAUAAAAAAAUUAUUUUGUAAA